This 253-nucleotide ribosomal RNA is filed under the name uncultured bacterium. RNAcentral's name for it is "partial 16S ribosomal RNA". It matches the Rfam family "Bacterial small subunit ribosomal RNA", at positions 524 to 776 of the family's 1533-position model. The record is from RNAcentral.
UACGUAGGGUGCAGGCGUUAAUCGGAAUUACUGGGCGUAAAGCGUGCGCAGGCGGUUUCUUAAGUCAGAUGUGAAAGCCCCGGGCUUAACCUGGGAACUGCGUUUGAAACUGGGAGACUUGAGUGUGGCAGAGGGGGGUGGAAUUCCACGUGUAGCAGUGAAAUGCGUAGAUAUGUGGAGGAACACCGAUGGCGAAGGCAGCCCCCUGGGCCUGCACUGACGCUCAUGCACGAAAGCGUGGGGAGCAAACAGG